UGGGGAAUAUUGCACAAUGGGCGCAAGCCUGAUGCAGCCAUGCCGCGUGUGUGAAGAAGGCCUUCGGGUUGUAAAGCACUUUCAGCGAGGAGGAAGGUGGUGAACUUAAUACGUUCAUCAAUUGACGUUACUCGCAGAAGAAGCACCGGCUAACUCCGUGCCAGCAGCCGCGGUAAUACGGAGGGUGCAAGCGUUAAUCGGAAUUACUGGGCGUAAAAGCGCACGCAGGCGGUUUGUUAAGUCAGAUGUGAAAAUCCCCGGGCUCAACCUGGGAACUGCAUUUGAAACUGGCAAGCUAGAGUCUCGUAGAGGGGGUAGAAUUCCAGGUGUAGCGGUGAAAUGCGUAGAGAUCUGGAGGAAUACCGGUGGCGAAGGCGGCCCCCUGGACGAAGACUGACGCUCAGGUGCGAAAAGCGUGGGGAGCAAAACAGGAUUAGAUACCCUGGUAGUCCACGCUGUAAAACGAUGUCGAUUUUGGAGGUUGUGCCCUUGAGGCGUGGCUUCCGGAGCUAACGCGUUAAAUCGACCGCCUGGGGAGUACGGCCGC
Molecule: ribosomal RNA, 547 nt
Filed under: uncultured bacterium
Lineage: Bacteria
Description: partial 16S ribosomal RNA
Rfam family: Bacterial small subunit ribosomal RNA
Source: RNAcentral